This is a non-coding RNA of Elephantulus edwardii (Cape elephant shrew), 315 nucleotides long. The record is from the annotation of a RefSeq genome assembly. Lineage: Eukaryota; Metazoa; Chordata; Mammalia; Macroscelidea; Macroscelididae.
CCCACAGGGGUUCUUUCUCAGGUCACCCUGAAAGAGUCUGGUCCUGGGCUGCUGAAACCUAAUGAGGUCCUAUCACUGACCUGCACCAUCUCUGGAUUCUCACUGAGCACUACUGAUACUGCUGUCGCCUGGCUCCGUCAUCCUCAAGGAAAGGCACCUGAGUGGCUCUCCCACAUAUACUGGGAUGAUGAUAAAAGAUAUGCACCAUCUCUGAAGAGUCGGCUCACAAUUUCCAGAGACACCUCCAAAAACCAAGUGUUUUUAACUAUGACCAACAUGAGCCCCACAGACACAGCCAUGUACUACUGUGUAUGA